CAUUGUUAUUGCCUUCGGUCUUCCGUCUCCGAUCUGGAAAAUGCCAUCACCCCAUCCUCAGCACCUGUGGUACAGAAGGAAAACAGGAGAUGGACAUGACAUUUUGCUGGACAGGACCAUGGUGGCGAACAAGAGACUCUACAAAAUCAGUAGCUCCACUGAUUUUUUUAACAUAGAUUCAAAGCUCCACAACACCUCUGGCUGCACGUACUGGAAAACCUUUUGCUACUUCAUUUGGCAGGAAGUUGAACUCCUGGAACAGAGGACAAUGUGGAGGACAAAAGCUUUCCUCUGCAUGAUUUUUCCAAAAAAGCAAAACUAGCAAAUGCUUUCAUUACAGUUAUGUAAUCUUAUCACAUGUGCAUAUUAAUGUUCAAGGUCCCUUCUUUCUUUUCAACUCGUGUGGUUUGUCUCAGCUUUCCAGCCAAGAAUAAAAUAAAAGAUUUGCCAGAAGCCA
Sphaerodactylus townsendi is the source of this 457-nucleotide long non-coding RNA. RefSeq lists it as uncharacterized. Lineage: Eukaryota; Metazoa; Chordata; Lepidosauria; Squamata; Sphaerodactylidae. The record is from RefSeq and is a predicted model, not a curated record. The transcript has 2 exons.